RNAcentral lists this unclassified non-coding RNA (352 nucleotides) under soil metagenome. RNAcentral describes it as "partial contains 5.8S ribosomal RNA, internal transcribed spacer 2, and large subunit ribosomal RNA". The stretch from base 1 to 120 matches the Rfam family "5.8S ribosomal RNA", at positions 35 to 154 of the family's 154-position model. The record is from RNAcentral.
GAUGAAGAACGUAGCUAAAUGCGAUAAGUAAUGUGAAUUGCAGAAUUCAGUGAAUCAUCGAAUCUUUGAACGCACAUUGCGCCCGCCAGUAUUCUGGCGGGCAUGCCUGUUCGAGCGUCAUUACAACCCUCAGGCCCCCGGGCCUGGCGUUGGGGAUCGGCAGAAGCCCCCUGUGGGCACACGCCGUCCCUCAAAUACAGUGGCGGUCCCGCCGCAGCUUCCAUUGCGUAGUAGCUAACACCUCGCAACUGGAGAGCGGCGCGGCCAUGCCGUAAAACACCCAACUUCUGAAUGUUGACCUCGAAUCAGGUAGGAAUACCCGCUGAACUUAAGCAUAUCAAUAAGCGGAGGA